Molecule: non-coding RNA, 1232 nt
Organism: Cinara cedri
Lineage: Eukaryota; Metazoa; Arthropoda; Insecta; Hemiptera; Aphididae
Source: the annotation of a GenBank genome assembly
UACACUAAUUUAAAAGUAAAAUGUCAACAGAAAUUUAAAACUAAAAUGUAUUUAAAUACUUUAAACUUACGUGAGAUAUAAGUUUGUAAUAUUGGUUGUCAUUGGAAAAUCAAAAGUAUAUAAGAGUUCUUCCUCAAAAUCAAAGGUGACAAAAAAAUAUAAUACAAAUGUAACACUUUAAUUUGAUGAAAUUAUGCUGUUGUUUAAAUUAUAAAAACAAAAUUGUUGGCAAAAUGCAAUACUUUUUAAAAUAUUCAAUAAAGUCAUUUAAAUGGAUCCUGUGUAUAACAAAAAAUUUAUGAUUUUAUUAAGAUUAGACAUUAGAAUUUAAUAUUAUUAUAAAAUUAAGUUCUACAUUAUUUGUACUUAAUAAAUAGUUAUUUAGAAGAAAAAUAUUUUAUUUUUACUAAAUUAGAUAUUAUUAAGUCAUAAAUAAAAAGUCAAAACAUUUGUAUUUUAGUUUUUACUCAUUACUUCAAAAAACAAAGUAAAAUUCCAAUUAUUUAUAGUAGGUGUAAUGUUGUUAUGUACUUUAACAACACUUAAAUUUAAUUUUUCUAAAUUGUUUAGCCCCAAACUCCAAUGAUUUUAGAUUCUAAGUGAAGCAAAGAAGCUUAUGGAUUUUCAAAGGUGUUUUUUUUCAUCUCUGCACAAUUUCUUUACUAGAAAUAUUGAAUAUAGAAAUAUAUUCAAAAGCUGUGUUCUGCGCUAGCUGAAGUUAUUGGAAUAGUUAAAAUUAUCUUAAGAUCUAUAUCUAAGUUUAGAAACUUGAAAGGCGCGAGUUUUUACUAACCCAUUAUUUUAUUUAUUAUUACAAUGACAAUAGUAACAUUUAUUUGAUUUAUUAAAAUAUGUAGGUACAAUUAAUAACAACUCGAUCAGAGUUCAUGUCCGUUUUGAGUUUUGUCUGUUCCGUGAUUUUUGGAUAAUGGUUGCCAAAGUUAGGGAUUUUUCUGUUUACUGAAGAUUUUGAAGUCUAAAAGGAAUCUUUACUUAGUGAGAGAUUUCUAGUGAUUCCAAGAAAAAAUUAGAUUAAAAAAUUCACUGGACAAUAAUUUUUCUAAUUUGUGUGCUUUUUAUAUUAAAAUGAAUGUAAUAUUGUAGGUAUUAUAAUACAUUGAAAUAUACACUGGGCAAAACAUGUGUGGAGGGCGAGGGAUAAUUAACAAGGUAAGCCGAAUGGAUCAAGAUUAAUGGACACCUAAGUCAAUGGUAGAGCAAUCAAGUCAGCA